RNA transcript from Scylla paramamosain (green mud crab), 1892 nucleotides. RefSeq lists it as uncharacterized. NCBI's taxonomy places the organism in Eukaryota, Metazoa, Arthropoda, Malacostraca, Decapoda, Portunidae. The record is from RefSeq and is a predicted model, not a curated record. The transcript has 7 exons.
GUGUGUGGCGUAAAUAACAAGCCAGCGCCAAGUACACGAGUUAGGACGAAACGACACCGUGACGCAGUGGGCCUCUGGUCUCGUGGAGAGUGAUCUGCCGUAAGAGGAAGAAUGCACGUGAGUUUUGUCCUGGCCGCGGAAUUCCGGAUAACGCAGGUGUCUGGGAGAGUGGAUGAUCAGCCAGGACUGAGUAGAUGCUGAGUCUCGGGAGUGAACUGUGUGGUGCAGGACCGUAUCGGUUAUGCAGUCUCUUUUAACGAGAGACAUCGUGGAGGAGGCAGGCGAGUGCUCUCAACACACGUGACGGAGCGGCGCCAUGGUAACUGUCACCGUGGCCAGGAAGUCUCUUGUGCUGAACACUGCAAUGUUGUGUUAUCAAGACUGUGUAUUGGUGCAGCGCAUACAGUCGGAUCAAUAAGCGUGUUGUAGUGAUGAAACUAUGGAAACUAUGGCGAAUGAUUAUUGAUCGUUGGAAAAAAGCAUAGGUGUGAUAAUAAUUCGGUGCUUGAGUUACACUAACACUCCAUCACUACCGCCAUCACGGCCAUCACCACCGCCAUAACCACCGCCGCUACUAAGAAUCCGUGUCAUGGCAUCAUGAGGGAAAGCAGCUUGUGUGCUGUCAUCGGGACGGGACGCUCACAACUUGGAAUCUCACACAAACCUCUCCCACACCCACCUCUAAUAUCUUCCACUACGCCCUUUUGGUGUUCCACGUGCCGAGCGAAUCCGGGGAGAAGGUGACUCAGGGCAUCUCGGCGCUGCUCUCCAUGACUGUCUUCCUCAUGACCAUCAGAGUCCCUGCCGCCCACUGAGAAGACACCGCUCGUCAGGAGAGGGCAGGACAGCACACCGCGUGAGUGGCGAGGGACUGUUGCCCCACGUUCCGUCCAUUCCUAUUCACGUUGCCCCAUCCCUGUCCUAUUACAUGAGUGUUGGUCUCCAUGUCUCUGGUGAAGAUGUAUCCGGGGAAGAGGAGGAAGAGGGAGAGGUUACUGAUUACUUCCAUACGGCGUCCACUUAAUAAUAUGAAGACCACCAUAUACCCAGUGUCUGGUGUGCAGCGAAAGGCGGUUUGCCAGGAGUAUUAGUUAAGGAAGAAGAAGAAGAGCCUGGCGUCCCCGCUCGGCCCCUUCCACGACUCGCAGCGAGAGACGUCGAGGUGCGGUGGUCUUGUGGCGGAAGGCUGAAGGAGGCGGUGAAGGAGUGAAGGUGUGAAGUGUGUGGCUUCCACUUCACCAUCCUAUGAACAGCCUGCAGGAAUCUCUAUCAGCACCUGCUUCUGCAAUAUUGGCAUCUGGUUAUCAAAUAGUGCUGUCACACUGGGCCUGACAUACUCCAUUGCAAUUGGGGAAUCAAGCUUCACCAGGAAGAGAGGCCGAGCAUCACGACCUUCAAGCCUUCAAGCCCUACAAGAGGUGUUAAGUAUUGUCAGGACAAAACAGAGGUCCUGGUACAAGAGUUUUCAUUGCAAUCAAGGAAGAGUCAAGUUGCAAUAAGAAGAGUGUGUCAAGAAUUUUAAGCAGGAGGAAGACUGUCAAGCAGUUGACGGCAGGAAGAACGCGUGAAAUUCCCUUAAGUCAUGGCAGGACCGACAGGCAACCUUCAUUCAACACCUGCAGAGGCACAAGAGUUGUGGGCAGUUUCACCAGGAAGAGUUUGCUCCUCACUCAAGUUGACACAAAGACACAAGAAUUUGCAAGUGUUGUUCCUCCAAGACCCUGCUGCAAAUGUUCUCCAAUCCACUCCAGUCUGGGAAGGAAGAAUGUAGGAAGUCCCUCUCUUCUGUACUCAACAAGCACCACCACCACCACCACCUUCAUUCAGGCUUGAGACAAGUUUUGUACAUUCCAGCACUUCAGUAAUAAAGAAAACAAGUGCCAUGUUUAUUA